This 503-nucleotide ribosomal RNA is filed under the name uncultured bacterium. RNAcentral describes it as "partial 16S ribosomal RNA". It matches the Rfam family "Bacterial small subunit ribosomal RNA", at positions 30 to 523 of the family's 1533-position model. The record is from RNAcentral.
AUUGAACGCUGGCGGCAGGCUUAACACAUGCAAGUCGAGCGGGGUGAUGGUGCUUGCACUAUCACUUAGCGGCGGACGGGUGAGUAAUGCUUAGGAAUCUGCCUAUUAGUGGGGGACAACAUCUCGAAAGGGAUGCUAAUACCGCAUACGUCCUACGGGAGAAAGCAGGGGAUCACUUGUGACCUUGCGCUAAUAGAUGAGCCUAAGUCGGAUUAGCUAGUUGGUGGGGUAAAGGCCUACCAAGGCGACGCUCUGUAGCGGGUCUGAGAGGAUGAUCCGCCACACUGGGGCUGAGACACGGCCCAGACUCCGACGGGAGGCAGCAGUGGGGAAUAUUGGACAAUGGGGGGAACCCUGAUCCAGCCAUGCCGCGUGUGUGAAGAAGGCCUUAUGGUUGUAAAGCACUUUAAGCGAGGAGGAGGCUCUUUUGGUUAAUACCCAGGAUGAGUGGACGUUACUCGCAGAAUAAGCACCGGCUAACUCUGUGACAGCCGCCGCCGCCG